Molecule: long non-coding RNA, 360 nt
Filed under: Marmota monax (woodchuck)
Lineage: Eukaryota; Metazoa; Chordata; Mammalia; Rodentia; Sciuridae
Source: RNAcentral
CAGGCGACGGCUUCAGCUACUCCAAGCCGGUGCCGGGCCUGCCCCUGCGGGAGUACCUCUAUGGCGGCGGCGGGGCUGAGGAGCCCUCCAGCGGGGCGCCCGAGGGCGGUGCGACCCCGGCCCCCGAGACCCCCGCCCCGCCGACGCGGGAGACCUGCUACUUUCUCAACGCCACCAUCCUGUUCCUGUUCCGGGAGCUGCGGGACACCGCGCUGACUCGCCGCUGGGUCACCAAGAAGAUCAAGGUGGAGUUUGAGGAGCUGCUGCAGACCAAGACGGCAGGGCGCCUGCUGGAGGGGCUGAGCCUGCGGGACGUGUUCCUGGGCGAGACGGUGCCCUUCAUCAAGACCAUCCGGCUCG